RNAcentral lists this ribosomal RNA (494 nucleotides) under uncultured bacterium. RNAcentral's name for it is "partial 16S ribosomal RNA". It matches the Rfam family "Bacterial small subunit ribosomal RNA", at positions 28 to 507 of the family's 1533-position model. The record is from RNAcentral.
GACGAACGCUGGCGGCGUGCCUAGUACAUGCAAGUAGAACGCUGAAGGAGGAGCUUGCUCUUCUGGAUGAGUUGCGAACGGGUGAGUAACGCGUAGGUAACCUGCCUGGUAGCGGGGGAUAACUAUUGGAAACGAUAGCUAAUACCGCAUAAGAGUAGAUGUUGCAUGACAUUUGCUUAAAAGGUGCAAUUGCAUCACUACCAGAUGGACCUGCGUUGUAUUAGCUAGUUGGUGGGUAACGGCUCACCAAGGCGACGAUACAUCGCCGACCUGAGAGGGUGAUCGGCCACACUGGGACUGAGACACGGCCCAGACUCCUACGGGAGGCAGCAGUAGGGAAUCGUCGGCAAUGGACGGAAGUCUGAACGAGCAACGCCGCGUGAGGGAAGAAGGUUUUCGGAUCGUAAAGCUCUGUUGUAAGAGAAGAACGAGUGUGAGAGUGGAAAGUUCACACUGUGACGGUAUCUUACCAGAAAGGGACGGCUAACUACGUG